RNAcentral lists this long non-coding RNA (997 nucleotides) under Homo sapiens (human). RNAcentral's name for it is "non-protein coding lnc-DUX4-2:1". The record is from RNAcentral. Lineage: Eukaryota; Metazoa; Chordata; Mammalia; Primates; Hominidae.
UCGCCACCAGAGAACGGCUGGCCCAGGCCAUCGGCAUUCCGGAGCCCAGGGUCCAGAUUUGGUUUCAGAAUGAGAGGUCACGCCAGCUGAGGCAGCACCGGCGGGAAUCUCGGCCCUGGCCCGGGAGACGCGGCCCGCCAGAAGGCCGGCGAAAGCGGACCGCCGUCACCGGAUCCCAGACCGCCCUGCUCCUCCGAGCCUUUGAGAAGGAUCGCUUUCCAGGCAUCGCCGCCCGGGAGGAGCUGGCCAGAGAGACGGGCCUCCCGGAGUCCAGGAUUCAGAUCUGGUUUCAGAAUCGAAGGGCCAGGCACCCGGGACAGGGUGGCAGGGCGCCCGCGCAGGCAGGCGGCCUGUGCAGCGCGGCCCCCGGCGGGGGUCACCCUGCUCCCUCGUGGGUCGCCUUCGCCCACACCGGCGAGUGGGGAACGGGGCUUCCCGCACCCCACGUGCCCUGCGCGCCUGGGGCUCUCCCACAGGGGGCUUUCGUGAGCCAGGCAGCGAGGGCCGCCCCCGCGCUGCAGCCCAGCCAGGCCGCGACGGCAGAGGGGGUCUCCCAACCUGCCCCGGCGCGCGGGGAUUUCGCCUACGCCGCCCCGGCUCCUCCGGACGGGGCGCUCUCCCACCCUCAGGCUCCUCGGUGGCCUCCGCACCCGGGCAAAAGCCGGGAGGACCGGGACCCGCAGCGCGACGGCCUGCCGGGCCCCUGCGCGGUGGCACAGCCUGGGCCCGCUCAAGCGGGGCCGCAGGGCCAAGGGGUGCUUGCGCCACCCACGUCCCAGGGGAGUCCGUGGUGGGGCUGGGGCCGGGGUCCCCAGGUCGCCGGGGCGGCGUGGGAACCCCAAGCCGGGGCAGCUCCACCUCCCCAGCCCGCGCCCCCGGACGCCUCCGCCUCCGCGCGGCAGGGGCAGAUGCAAGGCAUCCCGGCGCCCUCCCAGGCGCUCCAGGAGCCGGCGCCCUGGUCUGCACUCCCCUGCGGCCUGCUGCUGGAUGAGCUCCU